Molecule: ribosomal RNA, 253 nt
Filed under: uncultured bacterium
Lineage: Bacteria
Description: partial 16S ribosomal RNA
Rfam family: Bacterial small subunit ribosomal RNA
Source: RNAcentral
UACGAAGGGGGCUAGCGUUGCUCGGAAUUACUGGGCGUAAAGCGCACGUAGGCGGAUUAUUAAGUCGGGGGUGAAAUCCUGGAGCUCAACUCCAGAACUGCCUUCGAUACUGGCGAUCUCGAGUUCGGGAGAGGUGAGUGGAACUGCGAGUGUAGAGGUGAAAUUCGUAGAUAUUCGCAAGAACACCAGUGGCGAAGGCGGCUCACUGGCCCGAUACUGACGCUGAGGUGCGAAAGCUAGGGGAGCAAACGGG